This 85-nucleotide transfer RNA is filed under the name Felis catus (domestic cat). It matches the Rfam family "tRNA". Rfam says of the family: Transfer RNA (tRNA) molecules are approximately 80 nucleotides in length. Their secondary structure includes four short double-helical elements and three loops (D, anti-codon, and T loops). Further hydrogen bonds mediate the characteristic L-shaped molecular structure. tRNAs have two regions of fundamental functional importance: the anti-codon, which is responsible for specific mRNA codon recognition, and the 3' end, to which the tRNAs corresponding amino acid is attached (by aminoacyl-tRNA synthetases). tRNAs cope with the degeneracy of the genetic code in two manners: having more than one tRNA (with a specific anti-codon) for a particular amino acid; and 'wobble' base-pairing, i.e. permitting non-standard base-pairing at the 3rd anti-codon position. Lineage: Eukaryota; Metazoa; Chordata; Mammalia; Carnivora; Felidae. The record is from Rfam by way of RNAcentral.
GCCUGGGUGGCUCAGUCAGUAAAGCGUCUGACUUCGGCUCAGGUCAUGAUCUUGUGGUAUGUGAGUUCAAGUCCCGUGUCGGGCU